GGGGCUAUAGCUCAGUGGUAGAGCACCUCGUUUACACGUGCACCGAGAAUGUCUACGGUUCGAAUCCGUAUAGCCCU
This 77-nucleotide transfer RNA is filed under the name Nitella hyalina. Its description in RNAcentral is "tRNA-Val". It matches the Rfam family "tRNA". From Rfam's summary of the family: Transfer RNA (tRNA) molecules are approximately 80 nucleotides in length. Their secondary structure includes four short double-helical elements and three loops (D, anti-codon, and T loops). Lineage: Eukaryota; Viridiplantae; Streptophyta; Charophyceae; Charales; Characeae. The record is from RNAcentral.